GACGAACGCUGGCGGCGUGCCUAAUACAUGCAAGUCGAGCGAGCUUGCCUAGAUGAAUUUGGUGCUUGCACCAAAUGAAACUAGAUACAAGCGAGCGGCGGACGGGUGAGUAACACGUGGGUAACCUGCCCAAGAGACUGGGAUAACACCUGGAAACAGAUGCUAAUACCGGAUAACAACACUAGACGCAUGUCUAGAGUUUAAAAGAUGGUUCUGCUAUCACUCUUGGAUGGACCUGCGGUGCAUUAGCUAGUUGGUAAGGUAACGGCUUACCAAGGCAAUGAUGCAUAGCCGAGUUGAGAGACUGAUCGGCCACAUUGGGACUGAGACACGGCCCAAACUCCUACGGGAGGCAGCAGUAGGGAAUCUUCCACAAUGGACGCAGGUCUGAUGGAGCAACGCCGCGUGAGUGAAGAAGGGUUUCGGCUCGUAAAGCUCUGUUGGUAGUGAAGAAAGAUAGAGGUAGUAACUGGCCUUUAUUUGACGGUAAUUACUUAGAAAGUCACGGCUAACUACGUGCCAGCAGCCGCGGUAAUACGUAGGUGGCAAGCGUUGUCCGGAUUUAUUGGGCGUAAAGCGAGUGCAGGCGGUUCAAUAAGUCUGAUGUGAAAGCCUUCGGCUCAACCGGAGAAUUGCAUCAGAAACUGUUGAACUUGAGUGCAGAAGAGGAGAGUGGAACUCCAUGUGUAGCGGUGGAAUGCGUAGAUAUAUGGAAGAACACCAGUGGCGAAAGGCGGCUCUCUGGUCUGCAACUGACGCUGAGGCUCGAAAGCAUGGGUAGCGAACAGG
RNAcentral lists this ribosomal RNA (789 nucleotides) under uncultured Lactobacillus sp. RNAcentral describes it as "bacterial SSU rRNA". It matches the Rfam family "Bacterial small subunit ribosomal RNA", at positions 28 to 776 of the family's 1533-position model. Lineage: Bacteria; Bacillati; Bacillota; Bacilli; Lactobacillales; Lactobacillaceae. The record is from RNAcentral.